UCUAGAGGCAAGAAGUCUGAGAUCAAGGUGUCAGCAGGGCUGGUUUCCUCUGAGGGCUGUGCGGGAAGGAUCUGUUCCAGGCCUCUCUGACUUGGUAAAGAGGCACUUUGCUGGGCCAAGAACCCCAUGUGGGGCUGUGACAGGCAGAAGGAUGGCUCCUUGAAGAUACUCAUGUCCUAAUUCCCAGAACAUGUGAAUAUGCUACUUCAACAGCAAAAGGGACGUUGCAGAUGUAAAUUACGGACCUCGAGACCGGGAGAUUAUUCUGGAUUGUCUGGUGGACCCACUGUAAUCACAAGGUUCAUAUAAGGGAAAUAGGGAAGCAGGAGAGUCGGAGAAGGAGAUGGGAUGAUGGAGGCAGAGGUUGGAGUGAUGCAAUUGCUAGCUUUGAAGGUAGAGGAAGAGACCUUAAGCCAAGGAAUGUGGGUGGCUUCUAGAAGCUAAAAAAAGGCAAACAAACAAACAAACAACAACCCUGCAACAGAUUCUUCCCUAGACCCUCCAGAAGGAACACUGCCUUGCUAACACCUUGAUUUUAGCCCAGUAAAAUUCAUUUUGAACUUCUAACCUGCAGAACCAU
RNAcentral lists this long non-coding RNA (580 nucleotides) under Homo sapiens (human). Its description in RNAcentral is "HSALNT0223545". Lineage: Eukaryota; Metazoa; Chordata; Mammalia; Primates; Hominidae. The record is from RNAcentral.